GAUGAACGCUGGCGGCGUGCCUAAUACAUGCAAGUCGAGCGAACAGACGAGGAGCUUGCUCCUCUGACGUUAGCGGCGGACGGGUGAGUAACACGUGGAUAACCUACCUAUAAGACUGGGAUAACUUCGGGAAACCGGAGCUAAUACCGGAUAAUAUAUUGAACCGCAUGGUUCAAUAGUGAAAGACGGUUUUGCUGUCACUUAUAGAUGGAUCCGCGCCGCAUUAGCUAGUUGGUAAGGUAACGGCUUACCAAGGCAACGAUGCGUAGCCGACCUGAGAGGGUGAUCGGCCACACUGGAACUGAGACACGGUCCAGACUCCUACGGGAGGCAGCAGUAGGGAAUCUUCCGCAAUGGGCGGAAGCCUGACGGAGCAACGCCACGUGAGUGAUGAAGGUCUUCGGAUCGUAAAACUCUGUUAUUAGGGAAGAACAAAUGUGUAAGUAACUAUGCACGUCUUGACGGUACCUAAUCAGAAAGCCACGGCUAACUACGUG
Molecule: ribosomal RNA, 497 nt
Filed under: uncultured bacterium
Lineage: Bacteria
Description: partial 16S ribosomal RNA
Rfam family: Bacterial small subunit ribosomal RNA
Source: RNAcentral